Molecule: transfer RNA, 65 nt
Filed under: Dipodomys ordii (Ord's kangaroo rat)
Lineage: Eukaryota; Metazoa; Chordata; Mammalia; Rodentia; Heteromyidae
Rfam family: tRNA
About the family: Transfer RNA (tRNA) molecules are approximately 80 nucleotides in length. Their secondary structure includes four short double-helical elements and three loops (D, anti-codon, and T loops).
Source: Rfam by way of RNAcentral
GGUGGCUCAGUAGUAGAGCGCUUGCCUCACAUGCAAGAGGCCCUGGGUUCAAUUCCUCAGCACCA